UCCUAAAUAAUCAGUUAUCAACAUAUUUCCAUUUGGUAACAUGGCACACCAAGUUAGAUCUAUCCCGCAAUAUACUUCGUUCACAUUAAUUCUCCUUUUCAACUUGAGACGCACGUCGUACAUGUGUUUCGUGUCGGGCGCGCAAAUCUGUAUCUGGGCUUGAUCUACCCUUGCUCCUUUAAACGACAAACUAGUGGCAGUCUCC
RNAcentral lists this long non-coding RNA (205 nucleotides) under Mytilus galloprovincialis (Mediterranean mussel). Lineage: Eukaryota; Metazoa; Mollusca; Bivalvia; Mytilida; Mytilidae. The record is from RNAcentral.